Long non-coding RNA from Paralichthys olivaceus (Japanese flounder), 1497 nucleotides. RefSeq lists it as uncharacterized. The record is from RefSeq and is a predicted model, not a curated record. Lineage: Eukaryota; Metazoa; Chordata; Actinopteri; Pleuronectiformes; Paralichthyidae.
GGGAAAUGUUCAUUUGGCUGAAACGGCGCACAGGACUGCAGACCUUUACCCCCCUCUCCUCUCCAGCCUGCACAAGGUUAUUGCAGAAGAAGAAAAGCUUGCAUGCUCAAACUCCUCUGGAUAAAAAUGCCAUUCAAGUGGUAUUAUGCAGCAUUAAGGUCGACGUACAGCUGCAAGAAAAAACGAUUCAGCAUUUCUUCCAGUUCAAACAAUCACAUGGGAAGUCAACUUUAAAAUCUGGCCACCAGCAACUCAAAUCUGGAAAAUCACCAACUCUGCACUUAAACACUUCUGUUGCUGUAGUCCUGACUGCAAAGAAACACAAAUCCUGAAACAAGAGCCUGUUGCUGCUUGUGUCCGUCCUGCCAGCAGCAGCUUGUGGUUGGAGACCAACUAUAAUUCAACAUGUAACUCCAUCCACAGACGUCGAGCAAAACAUAGAAGCUGCCUGCUUAGUCAUUCUCCAGUGGUUUCAACAGAUGUCAGAUUUACUCUUCUGUGGACGAGCAGCUGUUUGAAACAAGCAACAACUAUAUACAAACGUUACACUGAGACGUCUGUUACUGUUUACGAUGACAUAAACAUUGAUUGCCUGCUUCAUUUUUCUCAUUCUAAUUCGGCCUGUUAUUUGAACUAUGCAUUAAUAUUAUUGUUUUAUUGCAAAUCUCUGUUUAUUAUUAUAUAAUCACGUCAUUUAUUAAGUUUGAAUUCCGUGACGUUUUUAUAUUCCAUGUUAUAAAAUUAUAUAUUCUCCAUUUGCAUUGAUGGUUUUCACCUGUUUCUGACAUCGUAUAAGACGACAGUCACCAUUAACGACCAGGGACCGCAGUGAAGUGUAAAAUAACGCUCCGCCUGGUGUACCUGGUCGCUCUGCACCUCUCCAAGCCUGCAGCACUUCCAGCCCUACAAGGACAGACGGAGAGGAGAGCGACUUAUUGGAUUCGAUUCCCACCCAGCAGUGACUUAUACGCUCAACCUAUAUGUCACAGAUGGCAGGAUUUCAGUGUGGCUGAUAUAGGAAACCCACUAAGAAGUAUUGAUCUGUGCAAGAUCUGCUCCCUCUGCCUGAUCUCCACAGGAUCUGAACAUAUGCAGAGAGCUGCAGGGGAGAGGAGCCGCUGGAAUCUCACUCUGUACCAGAAAACACUCAAGUAUUAAUAUUCAGCUUCACAAAAAUAUUUUAUUCUUUAUCUUAACUGUCUCUGAUGAGUAUCUGCAGAAGAAACCAAUGUUCUUCACCUUUUCAGAAUCAGGGGUAUAAAUAAUAAAUAAAUGUUAUUGACAAAUACUGUUAACAUUAAUUCAGAAUUGAUUAUGACUUGUGGUUUUAAUUUCAGAACUUAAAGUUCUGUCAUUGACAUGUUCUGCCAGGAGAAUUAUAAUAAACAACAUGUCUCAGUAUCGUAGAUUUCCAUGACAGACAAGAAACAACUUGAUUAUUCAGAUCUCAGAAUAAUCCAAUAGAUAUAUAGAUAGUCACUAUGAUGUUAAACAUUU